UACGGAGGAUCCAAGCGUUAUCCGGAAUCAUUGGGUUUAAAGGGUCCGUAGGCGGUUUGGUAAGUCAGUGGUGAAAGCCCAUCGCUCAACGGUGGAACGGCCAUUGAUACUGCCAGACUGAAUUAUUAGGAAGUAACUAGAAUAUGUAGUGUAGCGGUGAAAUGCUUAGAGAUUACAUGGAAUACCAAUUGCGAAGGCAGGUUACUACUAAUGGAUUGACGCUGAUGGACGAAAGCGUGGGUAGCGAACAGG
RNAcentral lists this ribosomal RNA (252 nucleotides) under uncultured bacterium. Its description in RNAcentral is "partial 16S ribosomal RNA". It matches the Rfam family "Bacterial small subunit ribosomal RNA", at positions 524 to 776 of the family's 1533-position model. The record is from RNAcentral.